This 207-nucleotide ribosomal RNA is filed under the name uncultured Tetraselmis. Its description in RNAcentral is "partial 16S ribosomal RNA". It matches the Rfam family "Bacterial small subunit ribosomal RNA", at positions 568 to 774 of the family's 1533-position model. Lineage: Eukaryota; Viridiplantae; Chlorophyta; Chlorodendrophyceae; Chlorodendrales; Chlorodendraceae. The record is from RNAcentral.
UCUGUAGGUGGCUUCCCAAGUCAACUGUCAAAAAUCAGGGCUUAACCUUGAGCCGGCAGUUGAAACUAUGAAGCUUGAGUUAGGUAGGGGCAGAGGGAAUUCCUAGUGUAGCGGUGAAAUGCGUAGAUAUUAGGAAGAACACCGAUCGCGAAAGCACUCUGCUGGGCCAUGACUGACACUGAGAGACGAAAGCUAAGGGAGCAAAUG